Molecule: ribosomal RNA, 264 nt
Filed under: uncultured archaeon
Lineage: Archaea
Description: partial 16S ribosomal RNA
Rfam family: Archaeal small subunit ribosomal RNA
Source: RNAcentral
ACACGACUACAUUAGAUACCCGCGUAGUCCCAGCCCUAAACGAUGCGCGUUAGGUGUAUCGGUGACCACGAGUCACCGAGGUGCCGAAGGGAAACCGUGAAACGUGCCGCCUGGGAAGUACGGUCGCAAGGCUGAAACUUAAAGGAAUUGGCGGGGAGCACCACAACGGGUGGAGCCUGCGGUUUAAUUGGACUCAACGCCGGGAAGCUCACCGGAUAAGACAGCAGAAUGAUUGCCGGGCUGAAGACCCUGCAUGACUAGCUG